GAUGAAGAACGUAGCGAAAUGCGAUACGUAAUGCGAAUUGCAGAAUUCAGUGAGUCAUCGAAUCUUUGAACGCACAUUGCGCCCGCCAGCACUCUGGCGGGCAUGCCUGUCCGAGCGUCAUUUCAACCCCUCAAGCCCUGCUUGUGUUGGGGAUCGGCCGCCCCCGGGCGUCGCCGGCCCUGAAAUGAAGUGGCGGUCCCGCCGUGGAACCUCUGCGCAGUAGCAACACUCGCACUGGCGACCGGCGGCGACCACGCCCAACCCCCCUAUCUUUACAGGUUGACCUCGGAUCAGGUAGGAAUACCCGCUGAACUUAAGCAUAUCAAUAAGCGGAGGA
RNAcentral lists this unclassified non-coding RNA (337 nucleotides) under soil metagenome. Its description in RNAcentral is "partial contains 5.8S ribosomal RNA, internal transcribed spacer 2, and large subunit ribosomal RNA". The stretch from base 1 to 120 matches the Rfam family "5.8S ribosomal RNA", at positions 35 to 154 of the family's 154-position model. The record is from RNAcentral.